GAUACUAAAAGAAAUAUAAAAUUACCUGACUCAUAAUCAGGUGGUCCCUGGUUCGAGCCCAGGUGGGACCA
This 71-nucleotide transfer RNA is filed under the name Leeuwenhoekiella aequorea. RNAcentral describes it as "tRNA-Met". It matches the Rfam family "tRNA". Rfam says of the family: Transfer RNA (tRNA) molecules are approximately 80 nucleotides in length. Their secondary structure includes four short double-helical elements and three loops (D, anti-codon, and T loops). Lineage: Bacteria; Pseudomonadati; Bacteroidota; Flavobacteriia; Flavobacteriales; Flavobacteriaceae. The record is from RNAcentral.